Molecule: ribosomal RNA, 484 nt
Filed under: uncultured bacterium
Lineage: Bacteria
Description: partial 16S ribosomal RNA
Rfam family: Bacterial small subunit ribosomal RNA
Source: RNAcentral
AUUGAACGCUGGCGGCAGGCCUAACACAUGCAAGUCGAGCGGAUGAAUGGAUCUUGCUUCUGGAUUCAGCGGCGGACGGGUGAGUAAUGCCUAGGAAUCUGCCUUGUAGUGGGGGAUAAAGUCCGGAAACGGGCGCUAAUACCGCAUACGGCUUGCGGGAGAAAGUGGGGGAUCUUCGUACCUCUCGCUAUCAGAUGAGUCUGGGUCGGCUUAGCUAGUUGGUGGGGUGAAGGCCUACCAAGGCGACGAUCCGUAACUGGUCUGAGAGGAUGAUCAGUCACACUGGAACUGGGACACGGGCCAGACUCCUACGGGAGGCAGCGGUGGGGAAUAUUGGACAAUCGGCGAAAGCCUCAUCCAGCCAUGGCGCGUGUGUGAAGAAGGUCUUCGGAUUGUAAAGCCCUUUAAGUUGGGAGGAAGGGCAGUAAGUUAAUACCUUGCUGUUUUGACGUUACCAACAGAAUAAGCACCGGCUAACUUCGUG